Molecule: long non-coding RNA, 1803 nt
Organism: Gymnodraco acuticeps
Lineage: Eukaryota; Metazoa; Chordata; Actinopteri; Perciformes; Bathydraconidae
Exons: 7
Source: RefSeq, a predicted model, not a curated record
AGGAUGCCACCUGGGCGCCUCCCUAGGGAGGUGUUCCAGGCACGUCCAGCUGGGAAGAGACCGAGGGGUAGACCUAGGACCAGGUGGAGGGACUAUAUCUCUUCGCUGGCCUGGGAGCGCCUUGGGACCCCCCAGUCAGAGCUGGUUGAUGAGGGGAAAGGAACGUUUGGGGCUCUCUGCUGGAACGAGACCCCCGAGACCCGACCACGGAUAAGCGGGAGAAGAUGGAUGGAUGGAGGCUUGCAGGUGGACUGUUUACACAGCCGUGGGAACUAAGGAAGUCUUAAGAAGAGCUACAGCUGUCCUAUGUUUGCUUUUUGGUGGGAGGACCAUGGCUGCUUGAGUUCCGUUCUUCGGUUCUUAAACACACUUAAGGACUUCGAGGACAUUGAUCUGACAUCAAUGAAGACGGUGGCUUCUGGAGUGUCUGAAGAACUUACGGUACUAUACUAUGACUGUUUUCUCAUAUUUCCAACUACACUAUGACUAUUUUCCAACAUAGUCAUAGUGUACUAUGCCAGGGGUUCCCAAACGUUGCCAUGCCAAGGACCCCAUAUAGCAUGAUCCUCUGGCGGGGACCUCCCUGUUGCAAUUUUUUAAAUGAUGAGUACAUUAUGAUGGAGAAUAGGACAAAUUAAUCAUACAGCUUAAUACAUUUUCUUAAUAUAUAUUUGUACUAAUAAUUAAUAAUCAGUUAUUCUUCAAAAAAAGUUAUUUAUCUUUUGUUUGUCAUUCAUUACAUUGAUUGUGUGUUCUGUUAUAAACAUUCUUAACACAAUAUUAAACAGUAAUAUCAACAGUAAACACAUUUUUAAAGUGAUUUCUGUCUUUAUAAUAUAUAAUUUUGAACAGUAAUAUGAACAAUUAACAUAUAUUUUUAGCAUUUUUGAAAGCUAUUUAUAUAUAAUAUUCAACAGUAAUAUUAACAAUAGACAUAUUUAUAUUCAUAUAUAUAAACAUCAAUAUUUGCUACAUCCGUGCUCUCGUCCAGCUGCAGAGCGAAACAUUCUGACGUCAUGGUGUCUUUUUCUUCUUUUCCUGGAACACCGAGUGCAAACAUCUGACAUCAACGAAGACGGUGGCUUCUGGAGUUUCUGAGGAGUUUACGGACUGCGAGGACAUUCAUCUGACAUCAAUGAAGACGGUGGCUUCUGGAGUUUCUGAAGGACUUACGGACUGCGAGGACAUUCAUCUGACAUCAGUGAAGACGGUGGCUUCUUGAGUUUCUGAAGGACUUACGGACUGCGAGGACAUUCAUCUGACAUCAGUGAAGACGGUGGCUUCUUGAGUUUCUGAAGGAAUUACGAGAGUGAAGAGAGGACGCCCCCCCCCCCCACGCCAUCAAUUAAGACCCCGGCUGCCUAUGCUUCUGAAAAACUUGUGGACGUUUUCAGCCUUGGGGAAGUAUAGCAGACUUAGCAGCCUUGGGGACGUAUAGCAGACUCAACAGACUAUCGAUGUGGCUGCAGUGAGAGCCUACAGCCACUUAGCAGACUUAGCCGACUUGGGGCGGUGGCUGGGGUGCCGAGCGGCCCCCCCCCAGCCACGUCAGCCCCCCCGACUUAGCAGACUUAGCAGGCCUACAGACUUAGCAGACUAUCGGCAGUGACUGCAGGCCCCUGCACAGGAGUGCAGUGAGAGCCGGCAGCCACCUAUCGGCCGCUUAUUAGACUUAGCAGACUUGGGGACGUUUAGCAGACUUGGGGACGUUUAGCAGACUUGGGGACGUUUAGCAGAUUGGGGACAAGGCUGCACUGCUAUGUAUGAAUAAAUGUGAAUAAAGCAAAAGUUUCUUAAAAUACA